RNAcentral lists this ribosomal RNA (869 nucleotides) under Lobaria sp. CM-2020i. Its description in RNAcentral is "partial large subunit ribosomal RNA". It matches the Rfam family "Eukaryotic large subunit ribosomal RNA", at positions 50 to 933 of the family's 3401-position model. The record is from RNAcentral. Lineage: Eukaryota; Fungi; Ascomycota; Lecanoromycetes; Peltigerales; Lobariaceae.
GCGGAGGAAAAGAAACCAACAGGGAUUGCCUCAGUAACGGCGAGUGAAGCGGCAACAGCUCAAAUUUGAAAUCUGACCCCUUCGGGGCCCGAGUUGUAAUUUGUAGAGGGUGUUUCGGGCGCGGCGCCGGUCUAAGUUCCUUGGAACAGGACGUCAUAGAGGGUGAGAAUCCCGUAUGUGACCGGCGAUCAAGCCCAUGUGAAGCCCCUUCGACGAGUCGAGUUGUUUGGGAAUGCAGCUCAAAAUGGGUGGUAAAUUCCAUCUAAAGCUAAAUAUUGGCCGGAGACCGAUAGCGGACAAGUAGAGUGAUCGAAAGAUGAAAAGCACUUUGGAAAGAGAGUCAAACAGUACGUGAAAUUGUUGAAAGGGAAGCGCUUGCGACCAGACCGGUCCGGGGGUGAUCAGCCGCUGCUCGUCAGCUGGUGCACUCGCCCUCGAUCCGGCCAGCAUCGGUUUGGGCGGUGGGAGAAAAGCCUCGGGAAUGUAGCUUCUUUCGGGGAGUCUUAUAGCCCGAGGCGCAAUGCCGCCCGCCCGGACCGAGGACCGCGCUUCGGCUAGGAUGCUGGCGUAAUGGUCGCAAGCGACCCGUCUUGAAACACGGACCAAGGAGUCUAACAUCUAUGCGAGUGUUUGGGUGUCAAACCCGGGCGCGGAAUGAAAGUGAACGGAGGUGGGAGCCCGUCGCACGGCGCACCAUCGACCGAUCCAGAUGUUUUCGGAUGGAUUUGAGUAUGAGCAUAGCUGUUGGGACCCGAAAGAUGGUGAACUAUGCCCGGAUAGGGUGAAGCCAGAGGAAACUCUGGUGGAGGCUCGCAGCGGUUCUGACGUGCAAAUCGAUCGUCAAAUCUAGGCAUAGGGGCGAAAGACCA